UACAGAGGGUGCAAACGUUGCUCGGAUUUACUGGGCGUAAAGCGCGUGUAGGCGGAUUGGAAAGUCGGGUGUGAAAUCCCUGGGCUCAACCCAGGAAUUGCAUCCGAAACUUCCAACCUUGAGUGUCGGAGAGGGAAGUGGAAUUCCUGGUGUAGAGGUGAAAUUCGUAGAUAUCAGGAGGAACACCGGUGGCGAAGGCGGCUUCCUGGACGAUAACUGACGCUGAGACGCGAAAGCGUGGGUAGCAAACAGG
Molecule: ribosomal RNA, 253 nt
Filed under: uncultured bacterium
Lineage: Bacteria
Description: partial 16S ribosomal RNA
Rfam family: Bacterial small subunit ribosomal RNA
Source: RNAcentral